CGGCUCAGAACAAGGUGUGUGUGUAAAGACACAUCCAGUGCCAGUCACCGGAGAGAUCCAGCUAAGGCCAGCAGGAGAAGGGCCUCACACCUGUUAGAAGCUCUUAUCACAGACACCUGUGGCCGGGAUGUACACACUGCUGGCAAGAAUGAGGCAUCUGCCCGUGUUUCUGACCAGCUGUCACCAUCAAGCACAGUCAGUUUUAGGCUCAUAUUUGCAGUGUGGCUUACCUUCCAUCCCUCAGCCAAGACUUGAAGACAACAAAACGAAGAAAGCUAGAUAAGAAAAUAAAUCUGAAUGAACCUAGGAAAGCGGAAGUGCUGAACUGAGCUUCUCCACACUUCCCCACCCCUUUGCAGCUGCAUGUACGGGAUCUGGUUCUGGGCUGUGGCCCAGGACAUCCCCACCUGGCCCUGCCACAUCCUCCACUGGGAUUAUACCAGCAUCACUGGGGGAGAUGAUGGGCUGGAUCAUGUUUCCAUGAAAGGGCCGAUGUCCUAGGGGAUUGUCCUGGGAGACUGGCAGAGUUUGGAGUCCAGCUCUCUCAAACCCAGGAACUCCAGAGGCCAAACUGAAGCUGGAAAUGAGAAACGAGCCUCCUCCAUACCCUGCUAAGAUCCAGAUUUUGAACCUGUAGCCCAGGAACUGUGAGAAAUUAUGUUUCUUAUUUUUAAGUCACCCCGGCUGUGGCACUUAGUGAGCAUAGCUGUAGAAAUUUAAUUGUUGUUAAUUUCUGCCUUGCUCCUGCAACACUGUACCUUCUUUCCUCUGGGACAUACUUCCUGCUCUAUGCUAAGAUUCUGAGAGAGCAGGAAAAGGUCUAUAUUCCCCCCAUGCUCCUGACUCCUGGCUUGUUAGAAGAUAUUGAUUACAUUUCUCUCCCAGAAUUGUGAUGCUUAAGCCAAAUAAAAAAUGUAAGAUAUCUGAUGUAUAAUAACAAUCAAUAAUUAGUCCGCCCCCUGGUUCAAUAAUUUCAGCCUUUUUCUGAUUAAACGUGAUGUUAAGAUCAUCACUUGCAUAUUAAUGAAAGUUUUUCAAGGGGCAUAGUAUAAUAAAAUAUUUAACUAAGAUGCAGAGUUACAUAUAUUUACUAGGCAGUAGAGUAAACAUAUGCUUAUCAAUAUAUAAAC
This 1130-nucleotide long non-coding RNA is filed under the name Heterocephalus glaber (naked mole-rat). RNAcentral's name for it is "lncRNA (ENSHGLG00000035467.1)". The record is from RNAcentral. Lineage: Eukaryota; Metazoa; Chordata; Mammalia; Rodentia; Bathyergidae.